CCUACGGGAGGCAGCAGUGAGGAAUAUUGGUCAAUGGACGAGAGUCUGAACCAGCCAAGUAGCGUGAAGGAUGACUGCCCUAUGGGUUGUAAACUUCUUUUAUAUGGGAAUAAAAUGUUCCACGUGUGGGAUUUUGUAUGUACCAUAUGAAUAAGGAUCGGCUAACUCCGUGCCAGCAGCCGCGGUAAUACGGAGGAUCCGAGCGUUAUCCGGAUUUAUUGGGUUUACAGGGAGCGUAGGUGGAUUGUUAAGUCAGUUGUGAAAGUUUGCGGUUCAACCGUAAAAUUGCAGUUGAGACUGGCAGUCUUGAGUACAGUAGAGGUGGGCGGAAUUCGUGGUGUAGCGGUGAAAUGCUUAGAUAGCACGAAGAACUCCGAUUGCGAAGGCAGUUCACUGGACUGCAACUGACACUGAGGCUCGAAAGUGUGGGUAUCAAACAGGAUUAGAUACCCGGGUAGUC
RNAcentral lists this ribosomal RNA (460 nucleotides) under uncultured bacterium. RNAcentral's name for it is "partial 16S ribosomal RNA". It matches the Rfam family "Bacterial small subunit ribosomal RNA", at positions 338 to 795 of the family's 1533-position model. The record is from RNAcentral.